CCUACGGGAGGCAGCAGUAGGGAAUUUUCGUCAAUGGGCGCAAGCCUGAACGCGCAAUGCCGCGUGAACGAGGAAGGUCUUCGGAUCGUAAAGUUCUGUUGAAGGGGAAAAAGCGCGGAGAGAGGAAAUGCUUUCUGAUUGCUAUUACCCUUCGACGUAGUCACGGCUAACUCCGUGCCAGCGGCCGCGGUAAUACGUAGGUGGCGAGCGUUAUCCAGAAUGAUUUGGCGUAAAGGGUGCGUAGGCGGCCUGCUAAGUCUGGAGUGACAGGUAACGGCUCAACCGGUACAGGCGCUGGAAACUGGCGGGAGAGAGAGCAGGAGAGGGCGGUGGAACGACAGGUGUAGCGGUAAAAUGCGUAGAGAUAUGGAAGAACACAAGUGGCGAAGGCGGCCGCCUGGCCUGUUACUGACGCUGAGGCACGAAAGCGUGGGGAGCAAAUAGGAUUAGAUACCCGUGUAGUC
This 464-nucleotide ribosomal RNA is filed under the name uncultured bacterium. RNAcentral describes it as "partial 16S ribosomal RNA". It matches the Rfam family "Bacterial small subunit ribosomal RNA", at positions 338 to 795 of the family's 1533-position model. The record is from RNAcentral.